RNAcentral lists this ribosomal RNA (293 nucleotides) under uncultured Desulfobulbus sp. RNAcentral describes it as "partial 16S ribosomal RNA". It matches the Rfam family "Bacterial small subunit ribosomal RNA", at positions 1091 to 1382 of the family's 1533-position model. The record is from RNAcentral. Lineage: Bacteria; Pseudomonadati; Thermodesulfobacteriota; Desulfobulbia; Desulfobulbales; Desulfobulbaceae.
AACGAGCGCAACCCUUGACCUUUAGUUGCCAGCAGCUCGGCUGGGCGACUCUAAAGGGACUGCCCGUGUUAAACCGGAGGAAGGUGGGGAUGACGUCAAGUCCUCAUGGCCUUUAUGACCAGGGCUACACACGUACUACAAUGGCCGAUACAAAGGGCAGCGACACUGCGAGGUGAAGCCAAUCCCGUAAAAUCGGUCUCAGUCCGGAUUGGAGUCUGCAACUCGACUCCAUGAAGUUGGAAUCGCUAGUAAUCGUGGAUCAGCAUGCCACGGUGAAUACGUUCCCGGGCCUU